AGUGAACGCUGGCGGUAGGCCUAACACAUGCAAGUCGAACGGCAGCACAGGAGAGCUUGCUCUCUGGGUGGCGAGUGGCGGACGGGUGAGGAAUACAUCGGAAUCUACUCUGUCGUGGGGGAUAACGUAGGGAAACUUACGCUAAUACCGCAUACGACCUACGGGUGAAAGCAGGGGACCUUCGGGCCUUGCGCGAUUGAAUGAGCCGAUGUCGGAUUAGCUAGUUGGCGGGGUAAAGGCCCACCAAGGCGACGAUCCGUAGCUGGUCUGAGAGGAUGAGCAGCCACACUGGAACUGAGACACGGUCCAGACUCCUACGGGAGGCAGCAGUGGGGAAUAUUGGACAAUGGGCGCAAGCCUGAUCCAGCCAUACCGCGUGGGUGAAGAAGGCCUUCGGGUUGUAAAGCCCUUUUGUUGGGAAAGAAAUCCAGCUGGCUAAUACCCGGUUGGGAUGACGGUACCCAAAGAAUAAGCAUCGGCUAUUUUCGUGCCAGCAGCCGCGGUAA
Molecule: ribosomal RNA, 506 nt
Filed under: uncultured bacterium
Lineage: Bacteria
Description: partial 16S ribosomal RNA
Rfam family: Bacterial small subunit ribosomal RNA
Source: RNAcentral